AGCUCCAAUAGCGUAUAUUAAAGUUGUUGCAGUUAAAAAGCUCGUAGUUGGAUUUCUGAUAUUUUUUUAUAUUUUUCUUGUCUUGCUCAAGAGCAGAUGUUAAAUAUGAUUAAUGUCAUACCUUGCCCGCAUAAAUUUGGUUUCCAGUUAUUCAUUUAGCUGUGUUUUAAUCAGAUGGGCAUCAUUUACUGUGAAAAAAUUAGAGUGUUCAAAGCAAGUUUUAGAAUUUAAUGAAUACAUUAGCAUGGAAUAAUAAGAUAGGACUUUGGUACUAUUUUGUUGGUUUGCAUACCAAAGUAAUGAUUAAUAGGAACAUAUUGGGGAUAUCUGUAUUUUUUAGUCAGAGGUGAAAUUCUUGGAUUUAAGAAAGACAAACUACAGCGAAAGCAUUUAUCAAGGA
Molecule: ribosomal RNA, 400 nt
Filed under: phytoplankton environmental sample
Lineage: Eukaryota
Description: partial small subunit ribosomal RNA
Rfam family: Eukaryotic small subunit ribosomal RNA
Source: RNAcentral